This 754-nucleotide long non-coding RNA is filed under the name Actinia tenebrosa (Australian red waratah sea anemone). RNAcentral describes it as "uncharacterized LOC116293732, transcript variant X3". Lineage: Eukaryota; Metazoa; Cnidaria; Anthozoa; Actiniaria; Actiniidae. The record is from RNAcentral.
GUUCGUUGUGGAUGUGUUUCAACGGGUGCAAAACACGAUGGGCUUUUAGGCUGAAAUUGUACAAGAACAAAGAUGGUUAUUAGCUCGUGCUUGACCUAACAGAGAGAGAAGCACACGAGAACUAUGAAAGCUAUAGAAAUACUGAUUACACGAAAAAUACUCCAUAAAACUUUCCAGUGAGCUUGAACAAGAUGGCGGCUGUUCAUACCUGACAUCUGAGGCUGAUAGCCAAUAUAUAUACACACCAACCAGCAAGCUUAUCAUGGAAUAGUCCANUAUCUAUCUUGUAAUAAUGGAUUAACUGCAUUAAAACAAAAGAAAAAGACUUUGAUAGCAAUAUGGACUCACCUUGUUAAUUUAUGAGUAUUGACCUAAUUAAUGAUGUGGUAACCUGGUGAUGACCCUGUGACCUUCAUAAGAAUGUGGACUCACCUUGUUGCUAUAUGGAUAUUGAAGUAAAUAGCUCAGUCAUACCUCAUUCUGGCAAACCUUACUGGUCAAAACGACUUGUGAGGCAAUUAUAUUUGACUGGACAAGUCCCGUUCUGGCCGGACAUUGUCUGACGUCUGGCCGUUAUUUUCAAGCCCUGCAGCAUAAUAUAGCAUUCUUGUCAGCCAUUACAGAUAAGUCCAAGUGUUAUGAUGCUGUCAACUUCUUGCAGGCCAUUCUAGUGCAACAAACAACUUACCAGCCAUUACAGUCAAGUAUCUUGUGAUGCUGUGUAGCUUUGGCCAGUAUACAUGACAGACAAGUA